Molecule: ribosomal RNA, 253 nt
Filed under: uncultured prokaryote
Description: partial 16S ribosomal RNA
Rfam family: Bacterial small subunit ribosomal RNA
Source: RNAcentral
UACAGAGGGUGCAAGCGUUAAUCGGAGUUACUGGGCGUAAAGGGCGCGUAGGCGGUUAUGUAAGUGAGAUGUGAAAUCCCUGGGCUUAACCUAGGAAUUGCAUUUCAAACUGUAUAGCUAGAGUGCAGUAGAGGGUGGUGGAAUUUCCGGUGUAGCGGUGAAAUGCGUAGAGAUCGGAAGGAACAUCAGUGGCGAAGGCGGCCACCUGGACUGUAACUGACGCUGAGGCGCGAGAGCGUGGGGAGCAAACAGG